Molecule: non-coding RNA, 303 nt
Organism: Vicia faba (fava bean)
Lineage: Eukaryota; Viridiplantae; Streptophyta; Magnoliopsida; Fabales; Fabaceae
Source: the annotation of a GenBank genome assembly
AUGCUCUUGAUAGAUUCUCAUUCGGAAGGAAAAUUUUCUACGGAGGAGGAAACAAUAGUGGUCAAUCUUGCCUCUAAAUGUUUGCAAUAUGAACCGCGAGAGCAGCCUAAUACAAAGGAUUUGGUCAUAACACUUGCUCCAUUGCACGCUGAACCCGAUGUUCGUUCUCAUAUCAUGCUUGGAAUUCCAAAGCAAAGAAAAAGGCCCAUUCCCUGGAGGAAAUUCUUAGCUCAUCCACCUGUUAGGCCCUGCAUGGAAAGAGGGGAAAGCAGAAAAUCAAUUAACAGCAGCUCAACAGCUUAG